Syngnathus typhle (broad-nosed pipefish) is the source of this 3104-nucleotide long non-coding RNA. RefSeq lists it as uncharacterized. NCBI's taxonomy places the organism in Eukaryota, Metazoa, Chordata, Actinopteri, Syngnathiformes, Syngnathidae. The transcript is spliced from 2 exons. The record is from RefSeq and is a predicted model, not a curated record.
UCCAUACAAAUCCAUGCUCGUCCCCCUCCCCCAUCCAUGCUGGCUGUUCUGCCUUGGACCUCGUUCCGCUGGCACAAAAGAUCCCUUUUAGAUGGGGACUGUUCUUAUGGAGACUGGAGGAAGGAUUUUCUUUUCCGUUGUGUUUGUGAGUGUGUGCGCGUGUGUGUGCGCGUGUGUGUGUGGCUAAAUAGAUUGUGGGGCGGCUUCAUGGGGAAGCUUUCUGAGGUCAAUACGAAAGCCCAUCUUUGUGUGGGAGAACAUGAACAAGGAGCUCUUCACACAGCCAAUGCUCAUAAACAGUGUCAGUGGAGCAUUAACAUUACAAUGGGCGGGGGCUGCAGAGGGUUUGUCUCACGCCCAGUCUGAGUCUGUCUGCUUGCUAUGUGUACUGAACUUCCACUUUUGGAUUCCCUGCCGAUGAUUCCUCCCAGUGAUUUGGAAAAUCAUGGUACAACAAUUCUUGAAGAACAUCUUGUCACGGAUGGAGUGUGGAAAGGAGCGGGGCGACCAAGUGCAGCUUGGACCAGGGUUUAUUGGAGGAACUCAAAACGCAGACUUGGUAAACUAAUUGUGAUAAAUAACUGGAACAUCACUCAAAUAUUGGUGAUCCCGUUGAGAGUCUCACAUAUUUCUUCGCAAUCGAGUUUGCUACUGCAUGCGCAGUGAUACUGACCGGCAGAAUAACAUCCGGUUGUUCCCAAAGAUGAUCUUUUUUCUGAAAUAAUUUUACGUUUACGGAUUUAAGUAAGCCGGUCGGGUCAUACCAAAGACUAUAAAAAUGGGACCCAUUGCCUCCCUGCUUGGCACUCAGCAUUAAGGGUUGGAAUUGGGGGGUUAGCUCACCAAAUGAUUCCCGAGCGCGGCGCCGCUGCUGCUCACUGCUCCCCUCUCCCCCAAGGGAUGGAUCAAAAUCACACGGGGAUGGGUCAAAUGCAGAGGACAAAUUUCACCACAGCCAGAUGCGUGUGUGACGAUCAUUGGGACUUUAAAAAAAAAAAGAGUCAAAAUUUGGGUGCGUAUUAUACAUGGGUACAGGCUUUUUUCCAGCAUCGACAUGCCAUUUUUAGGGUGCGUAUUAUACAUGGGGGCGCAAUAUACACGGAAAAAAACGGUAACUAUUAUAUAAGCAAUAAUAUUACCAAACCAUCUGUGUCACUCCAAAUCAUUAAAUCCAUCAAUCAAUUUCCUCAUCCUUUGACAACAACGCCGCGCGUGCGCCCUGACAUCAGCCUCGUCGUUAUUCCGCAGAUCUAGUAUAUAACUAUAUUGUAGCGUUAACAAAGUACAAGGAAAGACGUGGGUUUGGUAAACAGCUCUUUAUUUAACAAAGCAAGAGUUCAACGAGCCAACAACUACUGAACUGUAACAAUAAAACCAUAUAUAAGUUGCUAAACGAAAUAAAAUAUAUCAAAUGACUAUAACAUAAAUAGUUCACCGCAACACGGCCCCAAGCACCGGCGUUGACUUCCAGGCGUGUGGCGGCGUGGACUUCCAUCCCCGGAGGUGGCACUUCCAGCCACGGAGGUGGCUGGGACCUCCGUAGAGUAGGACCGGGUGUGCGUAAAAGCCAUGUCCGAGCCCCAUCCACCGUCCCCGGACAGCCACCCGGCCGAGCGUCGGACCCCAACUUCCAUCCAUGGAAGUGAAAGAGAGCUCCGUAGAGUAGGACCGGGCAUGCGUAAAAGCCAAAAUAGUUUUUCAAACCUUCUGUGUCACUCCAAAUCAUUAAAUCCUUCAAACUCUUCAUCCUCAGUGUCACUUAAAAACAAAGCCGCUAAUGAUGCCGGUAGUACGUGGGGCCCUUCGUCAUCCCGUGAUCGAAUCUUUGUCCUUUAUGUAAACAACCGCCGCGCCGCUGACGUCACUUGAAAUUGAAAUUACAGUAAUCCCUUAAUACAUCGCAGUUUCACCAGUUUUUUUUUUUAAUUUUGAAAAUCUUUGAAAAAAUUCACAUAUAAAUCGCUCCUCAGUAUAAAUCACCCCCCCCACCCAAACUAUGAAAAAAAUCGCGAUUUAUAGUCCGAAAUUUACGGUAAUUUCCAUACUGUGGGCUGUGAUAUGAUGGAAUGCAAUGUAUACACAUUUUUUAAAAAUGCGAACAUUUUCAUCAUGUUCAAUCGAAAAACUGCCUUGUUGGCUUCCUUCCUUCCUUCCUUCCUUCCUUCCUUCCUUCCUUCCUUCCUUCCUUCCUUCCUUCCUUCCUUCCUUCCUUCCUUCCUUCCUUCCUUCCUUCCUUCCUACACAAAUACUAUUCCAGUACCAGUGGGUAAAAUAUUAUUCACUUCAACCUUUUUUUUUUUUUUUUUUUUUUUUUCUCUUGGUAUGGCGCCGUGAGUGGCUGCCUCCCAGCAGUGUUCUCUCUUUUCCUCUUUAUUUCCUUAUUUUCUCCUUUUUCUUUCUGUCUUUUUGUCCAUUCGGCGAUGCUGGUGCCUUCUACCGCACCUCGGUACCUCUUCGGAUCGGAUAUUUUGUUUUAUUUAUUUUUUCUUCCUGGGACCGGACCGGGAUCAUCGGUCGAGACCGGCGUAACUCUACGACGGCUUCCUGCUUAUCCGACCAGUGAUGACCGGGUCCCUCGCAUUGGCCUUGCAGCCGCAACACCUGUGGGGAGUCCGCUCCCUCGUGCUCGUCGGAACCGACGACUUUCGCCAUGCUAGCCCCGUGGUGGCCAUCUGCACGUCCCCCGACAGGGUGCCCGGGACGCUGCUCACACGUUUGCCUGCUUUGUGAUGUUUUCACCGAUUCACCACCACGGUCCAUUGGGCGCCGUUGAACUGGACUGCCCUUACACCUGUCGAUGGACCCCGUGGAGGCUAUUUUGUGUGUUUUGGGGUGUUCUCUUGUAUUGAGGGGUGCUAGGUGGCCGCUGUUGCUUUUUUUUCCUUUGUCUUUUAGCUUUGAUUUGCUUUGAUGGCUUUUAUCUUGUGCACUUUCUGACUUUCUUUGUGGCGCCGUUGUGUGGCAGCCUUGUGAGAGCCUAUUGAGUUGCGCUCAUGCCAUCUGUGUGUUUUUUGUAUACCCACUCUGUGGUAUGGAUACUGCUGGGGCCUGAAUUUCCCCACCCCUGGGGAUCAAUAAAUAUUCAAUCAAUCAAUCAAUACAAA